Molecule: ribosomal RNA, 427 nt
Filed under: uncultured prokaryote
Description: bacterial SSU rRNA
Rfam family: Bacterial small subunit ribosomal RNA
Source: RNAcentral
UGGGGAAUUUUCCGCAAUGGGCGGAAGCCUGACGGAGCAAGACCGCGUGAGGGAGGAAGGCCCUUGGGUUGUAAACCUCUUUUCUCAGGGAAGAAGAAAGUGACGGUACCUGAGGAAUCAGCCUCGGCUAACUCCGUGCCAGCAGCCGCGGUAAUACGAAGGGGGCUAGCGUUGUUCGGAAUUACUGGGCGUAAAGCGCGCGUAGGCGGAUCUUUAAGUCAGGGGUGAAAUCCCGGGGCUCAACCUCGGAAUUGCCUUUGAUACUGGAGAUCUUGAGUCCGAGAGAGGUGAGUGGAACUCCGAGUGUAGAGGUGAAAUUCGUAGAUAUUCGGAAGAACACCAAUGGCGAAGGCGGCUCACUGGCUCGGUACUGACGCUGAGGUGCGAAAGCGUGGGGAGCAAACAGGAUUAGAUACCCCUGUAGUCC